UUAAACUUAUUUAUUUUACCAAUAAUUUUUUUUUGCUAAAUUAAAAAAUAGCCUCUUUAGUAACUUUGAGUCACCUUGAGUUUGCUUUGAGUUUUUAUAUUAGCUAUUAUAAUUACUAUAUAGAAUAUGUGCUGUCCUCGUUUAACGCCACUUCGGCGUCUUUCAAUGCCAAACGUGGUUGACCGAGAAGUAAAUAACACUUGCUUCUAGAAACCAAAGCCGUUUUGUCAUUGGGGCUCAAUUCCAGUGCCUUCAAAUAAAAAUAAUAAAUUAAAAAUCAUCGCAUGCCAGAGUUGUACUGUUGUAGUGUUGUUCAUACAACAUUAAUAAGUAGGUACCCAAAUGUGUCCAAUAUCAUCAAUGACCAUCAUUCGGAAUCAAAAAAAUGUACAUAAUUGUGAUUAUGGAUCAUGGAAUUAACCUGUAUGGUUCAAUGGUUGUAUACAUUUAAACUACUAAAAAAAGUUAAAAACAAAAUUCGAAUAAUUAUUUAUAUCUAUUUGUUUAAUAAACGCGAAAAAUAAAAAAAAAUGUUUACCUAACCUGAUCACUGUUAUAUUUAAAUUUGUAAUUUUUUAUAAGUACUUUUUAACUAUUUAAUUUUAUUUAUUGAUCAUAUUACUUUAACUUUAUGGAUUGAAAGAGUAAACAAAUAAAAAAAAUAAUAUUGCCAGUCGCCAGAAAUUAAUCAUAAAAUAGAAAUAGCUAUUGAAAUAUCAUACAAUUGUGUAUUUUAGUUUUCUAAUAAUUAUUGAUAGAUUUCAGUGUAAUUUGCAAGAGAUUCAGGAUUCAGGAUAUCAGGAUUCAGAUACAGGAAAUAAAAAUUUAUUUUCAUAUUAUUAUUUAAUAUUUAUAAGAAAAUGUUUAAAUAAUACAAAGUUUAUAAAAAAAUGAAUAAAAUUAUGAUGGAUUACUUAUUUUAUAUAGGUUUGUUUUACGAUGUACCUUAGUACUUAUAUACUUUGAUGUAUAAGACAUCGAGUGUUUACCUGGGAGAGGAUAAUUUGCGCCACUAAUAGAUAGGUACAUUUUAGCACAUACCUAUGUAAUUUGUGCUAAAAUAUACAAAUAUAACAUGUAUAUUUUGCGCUAAUCUAAAAAUUAAUUUUGUAAUUUACGCCACUGUCGUCACGACAGAAAACGAAAUGGAAUGUGUAAUCUGCGCUACACUUUUAACUUAAAUUGUUGGAAUUCACCAGAUGAUAAAUCUACUAAUAUCGCAUCAGCUAUAAAAUAAUA
This is a long non-coding RNA of Aphis gossypii (cotton aphid), 1239 nucleotides long. RefSeq lists it as uncharacterized. NCBI's taxonomy places the organism in Eukaryota, Metazoa, Arthropoda, Insecta, Hemiptera, Aphididae. The transcript is spliced from 3 exons. The record is from RefSeq and is a predicted model, not a curated record.